This 97-nucleotide ribosomal RNA is filed under the name uncultured bacterium. Its description in RNAcentral is "partial 16S ribosomal RNA". It matches the Rfam family "Bacterial small subunit ribosomal RNA", at positions 1386 to 1482 of the family's 1533-position model. The record is from RNAcentral.
CACACCGCCCGUCACACCAUGGAAGUUGGUUGCACCAGAAGUCGGUCGCUUAACCGCAAGGAGAGCGCCGCCCGCGGUGUGGCUAAUGACUGGGGUG